GAGAGACAGAUGCUACGAGAAUAUCUCCCAUUAACUGUCCCCCGUUUUUUUUUUUUUUCUCUUUUUCUGUUUUUGCGUGUGUGUGUGCCCACGUCUAUGAACUGACCAUUAGGAUAACCACAAAGCAUAGUUCCCCCGGUGCUAUGAAGGCGUGGACUCCCAUUUGAAUCGUGAAAAGUGAAAAAUAAUGUGGCCUUUGACUCGCGACUGGAAGAGGCGCUGAGUUGACGUGAGUGGGCAGAGGAAGAAGAAGUAGAAGAAGAGGAAGAGGAAGAAGAGGAAGAGGAGGAGAGGGAAGGAAGAUCUGAGCUGCGGAUAAGCCCUGAGUGACUGUUGCUGCCCCGCGGACCUGCUGCUGCUGCUGCUGCUGCUGCUGCUGCUGCCGUGCCAGCGUGCGGUGCCUGUGGAGUGUGGUGCAUAGUGGAGGCGCAGAGUGAGGGAGGGGCGCGGCGCUGCUCUCCCGGGAAGAAAUCUGAUGAUGGAGAUGCUGUGCAGCCAGCCAGCCCACCUUCCACGUGCUCAACCACCUGGCCCGCCCCCUGCCCCUGCCGCCCUAAGCCACCCACGGCGGAGUAAUGCAUACUUUCUCUCUCUCUCUCUCUCUCUCUCUCUCUCUCUCUCUCUCUCUCUCUCUCUCUCUCUCUCUCUCACACACACACACACACACACACACACACACACACACACACACACACACACACACACACACACACACACACAC
Long non-coding RNA from Scylla paramamosain (green mud crab), 721 nucleotides. RefSeq lists it as uncharacterized. The transcript has 3 exons. NCBI's taxonomy places the organism in Eukaryota, Metazoa, Arthropoda, Malacostraca, Decapoda, Portunidae. The record is from RefSeq and is a predicted model, not a curated record.